This 329-nucleotide small RNA is filed under the name Vigna angularis var. angularis. Its description in RNAcentral is "Non-protein coding transcript". The record is from RNAcentral. Lineage: Eukaryota; Viridiplantae; Streptophyta; Magnoliopsida; Fabales; Fabaceae.
ACUAAAUUUUUCUAUUUAAAAUAUAUAUCUCAGCAUGCAUGCUAUUACUUCUGUGCUCAACACCAAUUAUUGAGUUGGAAAUAUUUCAAUACAAUCUCCACCCGUUGUCGUAAGACAGAUUUCGGUGGUGAUUUGAACUUUUUUACUACAAUUAGUAAAUCUUUUGGGUGUAUUGAAAAUUUGGGGUAGAUGUGUGUUUUGAGAGUUUUUGUAAUUGCAUCCUGAUAAAAGGUUGCAAUGGGAUGUAUAGGAGAUUUGAGUACUUCGGUGUUCAAAAGAAUGAGAAGUUUCUUAUGUGAAAAUUGUAGAGAAGAGUUACAAUUUUUGUA